UUUAAAGAGAGUUUGAUCCUGGCUCAGGACGAACGCUGGCGGCGUGCCUAAUACAUGCAAGUCGAACGAACGGAGGAAGAGCUUGCUCUUCCAAUGUUAGUGGCGGACGGGUGAGUAACACGUGGGCAACCUGCCUGUAAGUUGGGGAUAACUCCGGGAAACCGGGGCUAAUACCGAAUGAUAAG
RNAcentral lists this ribosomal RNA (185 nucleotides) under Listeria monocytogenes. RNAcentral's name for it is "partial 16S ribosomal RNA". It matches the Rfam family "Bacterial small subunit ribosomal RNA", at positions 1 to 180 of the family's 1533-position model. RNAcentral also lists the same sequence under 1 other name. The record is from RNAcentral. Lineage: Bacteria; Bacillati; Bacillota; Bacilli; Caryophanales; Listeriaceae.